RNAcentral lists this unclassified non-coding RNA (422 nucleotides) under Hevea brasiliensis (rubber tree). Lineage: Eukaryota; Viridiplantae; Streptophyta; Magnoliopsida; Malpighiales; Euphorbiaceae. The record is from RNAcentral.
CUGCAAACUGUCUGAGACUACUCCAUUUAGACCAUAAUCAAUUAUAAGCGCCCCUCCUCCAUCAGAACUUAUUCGUUUGGCAAUUGUAUGAGUCAAAUCCAUUCCUUUUGCGCAAACUUCAAUGUGGUUAAGCUUAUCAAUUUCUUCAAUUGCAGCCCACUUGCAGCGCUUCAUUAAAUAGAGAGUUGCAGGAGUUGGCUGCGGAGAUAGAACAAAACGAAACGUUGAAUCCUCCACAAUAUCAACCAUUUUCUCACACCAGCCAUGAGAAGCCCUCUGAAACUGAUGAAUUGGUAGAGCAUCAUAAAACUCAUGGGCAAUGAUGAUUACUGGCAAUCCUGAUGGAACCUGCUCCAAUGAAGCAUGCCAUGAUAUAGGCACUCCUGCCAAUGUGCUAAUAUUCCUUUUCUCAACACCUUCAC